Molecule: ribosomal RNA, 252 nt
Filed under: uncultured bacterium
Lineage: Bacteria
Description: partial 16S ribosomal RNA
Rfam family: Bacterial small subunit ribosomal RNA
Source: RNAcentral
UACGGAGGGGGCUAGCGUUAUUCGGAAUUACUGGGCGUAAAGCGUACGUAGGCGGUGGUUCAAGUCAGAGGUGAAAGCCCGGAGCUCAACUCCGGAACUGCCUUUGAAACUAGAUCGCUAGAACAUCGGAGAGGUAAGUGGAAUUCCGAGUGUAGAGGUGAAAUUCGUAGAUAUUCGGAAGAACACCAGUGGCGAAGGCGGCUUACUGGACGAUUGUUGACGCUGAGGUACGAAAGCGUGGGGAGCAAACAG